GUGACAGCCCCGUACACAAAAAUGCACAUGCUGUGAGCUCGAUGAGUAGGGCGGGACACGUGGUAUCCUGUCUGAAUAUGGGGGGACCAUCCUCCAAGGCUAAAUACUCCUGACUGACCGAUAGUGAACCAGUACCGUGAGGGAAAGGCGAAAAGAACCCCGGCGAGGGGAGUGAAAAAGAACCUGAAACCGUGUACGUACAAGCAGUGGGAGCCUCUUUAUGGGGUGACUGCGUACCUUUUGUAUAAUGGGUCAGCGACUUAUAUUCUGUAGCAAGGUUAACCGAAUAGGGGAGCCGAAGGGAAACCGAGUCUUAACUGGGCGUUAAGUUGCAGGGUAUAGACCCGAAACCCGGUGAUCUAGCCAUGGGCAGGUUGAAGGUUGGGUAACACUAACUGGAGGACCGAACCGACUAAUGUUGAAAAAUUAGCGGAUGACUUGUGGCUGGGGGUGAAAGGCCAAUCAAACCGGGAGAUAGCUGGUUCUCCCCGAAAGCUAUUUAGGUAGCGCCUCGUGAAUUCAUCUCCGGGGGUAGAGCACUGUUUCGGCAAGGGGGUCAUCCCGACUUACCAACCCGAUGCAAACUGCGAAUACCGGAGAAUGUUAUCACGGGAGACACACGGCGGGUGCUAACGUCCGUCGUGAAGAGGGAAACAACCCAGACCGCCAGCUAAGGUCCCAAAGUCAUGGUUAAGUGGGAAACGAUGUGGGAAGGCCCAGACAGCCAGGAUGUUGGCUUAGAAGCAGCCAUCAUUUAAAGAAAGCGUAAUAGCUCACUGGUCGAGUCGGCCUGCGCGGAAGAUGUAACGGGGCUAAACCAUGCACCGAAGCUGCGGCAGCGACACUAUGUGUUGUUGGGUAGGGGAGCGUUCUGUAAGCCUGUGAAGGUGUACUGUGAGGUAUGCUGGAGGUAUCAGAAGUGCGAAUGCUGACAUAAGUAACGAUAAAGCGGGUGAAAAGCCCGCUCGCCGGAAGACCAAGGGUUCCUGUCCAACGUUAAUCGGGGCAGGGUGAGUCGACCCCUAAGGCGAGGCCGAAAGGCGUAGUCGAUGGGAAACAGGUUAAUAUUCCUGUACUUGGUGUUACUGCGAAGGGGGGACGGAGAAGGCUAUGUUGGCCGGGCGACGGUUGUC
Molecule: ribosomal RNA, 1133 nt
Filed under: Escherichia coli
Lineage: Bacteria; Pseudomonadati; Pseudomonadota; Gammaproteobacteria; Enterobacterales; Enterobacteriaceae
Description: partial 23S ribosomal RNA
Rfam family: Bacterial large subunit ribosomal RNA
Source: RNAcentral